UGGGGAAUAUUGGACAAUGGGCGCAAGCCUGAUCCAGCAAUUCCGCGUGGGUGAAGAAGGUCUUCGGAUUGUAAAGCCCUUUCGGCGGGGACGAUGAUGACGGUACCCGCAGAAGAAGCCCCGGCUAACUUCGUGCCAGCAGCCGCGGUAAUACGAAGGGGGCUAGCGUUGCUCGGAAUUACUGGGCGUAAAGGGCGCGUAGGCGGCCCACCUAGUCAGGCGUGAAAUUCCUGGGCUUAACCUGGGGGCUGCGCUUGAUACUUGUGGGCUAGAGGAUGGAAGAGGGUCGUGGAAUUCCCAGUGUAGAGGUGAAAUUCGUAGAUAUUGGGAAGAACACCGGUGGCGAAGGCGGCGACCUGGUCCAUUACUGACGCUGAGGCGCGACAGCGUGGGGAGCAAACAGG
Molecule: ribosomal RNA, 404 nt
Filed under: uncultured bacterium
Lineage: Bacteria
Description: bacterial SSU rRNA
Rfam family: Bacterial small subunit ribosomal RNA
Source: RNAcentral